RNAcentral lists this ribosomal RNA (369 nucleotides) under uncultured bacterium. RNAcentral describes it as "bacterial SSU rRNA". It matches the Rfam family "Bacterial small subunit ribosomal RNA", at positions 525 to 896 of the family's 1533-position model. The record is from RNAcentral.
ACGGAGGGUGCAAGCGUUAUCCGGAAUCAUUGGGUUUAAAGGGUCCGCAGGCGGAUUUAUAAGUCAGUGGUGAAAUCCUAUCGCUUAACGAUAGAACUGCCAUUGAUACUGUAGGUCUUGAAUUCGGUCGAAGUGGGCGGAAUGUGUAGUGUAGCGGUGAAAUGCAUAGAUAUUACACAGAACACCGAUAGCGAAGGCAGCUCACUAGGCCUGGAUUGACGCUCAGGGACGAAAGCGUGGGGAUCAAACAGGAUUAGAUACCCUGGUAGUCCACGCUGUAAACGAUGAUUACUCGUUUUCGGCGAUAUACAGUCGGAGACUAAGCGAAAGUGAUAAGUAAUCCACCUGGGGAGUACGAUCGCAAGGUUG